This 254-nucleotide ribosomal RNA is filed under the name uncultured bacterium. Its description in RNAcentral is "partial 16S ribosomal RNA". It matches the Rfam family "Bacterial small subunit ribosomal RNA", at positions 524 to 776 of the family's 1533-position model. The record is from RNAcentral.
CACGUAGGGUGCGAGCGUUGUCCGGAAUUAUUGGGCGUAAAGAGCUCGUAGGCGGUGUGUCGCGUCGGCCGUGAAAACCUGCAGCUUAACUGUGGGCUUGCGGUCGAUACGGGCAUCACUGGAGUUCGGCAGGGGAGACUGGAAUUCCUGGUGUAGCGGUGAAAUGCGCAGAUAUCAGGAAGAACACCGGUGGCGAAGGCGGUCCUCUGGGCAUUACCUGACGCUGAGGAGCGAAAGUGUGGGGAGCGAACAGG